AGGACGAACGCUGGCGGCGUGCUUAACACAUGCAAGUCGAGCGGUAAGGCCCUUUCGGGGGUACACGAGCGGCGAACGGGUGAGUAACACGUGAGCAAUCUGCCCUUCACUCAUGGAUAACCUCCGGAAAACGGUGGCUAAUACACGAUGCGACCACCGACCGCAUGGUCUGGUGGUGGAAAGUUCUGGCGGUGGAGGAUGAGCUCGCGGCCUAUCAGCUUGUUGGUGAGGUAAUGGCUCACCAAGGCUUCGACGGGUAGCCGGCCUGAGAGGGUGACCGGCCACACUGGGACUGAGACACGGCCCAGACUCCUACGGGAGGCAGCAGUGGGGAAUAUUGGACAAUGGGCGAAAGCCUGAUCCAGCAACGCCGCGUGAGGGAUGACGGCCUUCGGGUUGUAAACCGUCUUUCAGCUCCGACGAAGCGAAAGUGACGGUAGGAGCAGAAGAAGCACCGGCCAACUACGUGCCAGCAGCCGC
RNAcentral lists this ribosomal RNA (480 nucleotides) under uncultured bacterium. RNAcentral describes it as "SSU rRNA". It matches the Rfam family "Bacterial small subunit ribosomal RNA", at positions 26 to 518 of the family's 1533-position model. The record is from RNAcentral.